RNAcentral lists this ribosomal RNA (253 nucleotides) under uncultured bacterium. RNAcentral's name for it is "partial 16S ribosomal RNA". It matches the Rfam family "Bacterial small subunit ribosomal RNA", at positions 524 to 776 of the family's 1533-position model. The record is from RNAcentral.
GACAGAGGGGGCAAGCGUUGCUCGGAAUCACUGGGCGUAAAGGGCGCGUAGGCGGGAUGGCAAGUCAGUCGUGAAAUCUCUCGGCUCAACCGAGAAACGUCGGCUGAUACUGCCGUUCUUGAGGGAUGCAGAGGAGACUGGAAUUCCCGGUGUAGCGGUGAAAUGUGUAGAGAUCGGGAGGAACACCGGUGGCGAAGGAGGGUCUCUGGGCAUCUCCUGACGCUGAGGCGCGAAAGCGUGGGGAGCAAACGGG